CCUGCGGAAGGAUCAUUUACAGAGUUCAUGCCCGAAAGGGUAGACCUCCCACCCUUGUGUAUUAUUACUUUGUUGCUUUGGCGAGCUGCCUUCGGGCCUUGUAUGCUCGCCAGAGAAUACCAAAACUCUUUUUAUUAAUGUCGUCUGAGUACUAUAUAAUAGUUAAAACUUUCAACAACGGAUCUCUUGGUUCUGGCAUCGAUGAAGAACGCAGCGAAAUGCGAUAAGUAAUGUGAAUUGCAGAAUUCAGUGAAUCAUCGAAUCUUUGAACGCACAUUGCGCCCCUUGGUAUUCCGGGGGGCAUGCCUGUUCGAGCGUCAUUUCAACCCUCAAGCUUAGCUUGGUAUUGAGUCUAUGUCAGUAAUGGCAGGCUCUAAAAUCAGUGGCGGCGCCGCUGGGUCCUGAACGUAGUAAUAUCUCUCGUUACAGGUUCUCGGUGUGCUUCUGCCAAAACCCAAAUUUUUCUAUGGUUGACCUCGGAUCAGGUAGGGAUACCCGCUGAACUUAAGCAUAUCAAUAAGCGGA
RNAcentral lists this small RNA (525 nucleotides) under Botrytis cinerea. Its description in RNAcentral is "eukaryotic LSU rRNA". The stretch from base 167 to 320 matches the Rfam family "5.8S ribosomal RNA". Lineage: Eukaryota; Fungi; Ascomycota; Leotiomycetes; Helotiales; Sclerotiniaceae. The record is from RNAcentral.